This 441-nucleotide ribosomal RNA is filed under the name uncultured bacterium. RNAcentral describes it as "bacterial SSU rRNA". It matches the Rfam family "Bacterial small subunit ribosomal RNA", at positions 958 to 1400 of the family's 1533-position model. The record is from RNAcentral.
AACGCGAAGAACCUUACCUGGGCUCGAACGGCUUAAGAUCAUCUUUGGAAACAGAGACUUCUCGCAAGAGACUUGAGUCGAGGUGCUGCAUGGCUGUCGUCAGCUCGUGCCGUGAGGUGUUGGGUUAAGUCCCGCAACGAGCGCAACCCUUACUCAUAGUUGCUACCCGCAAGGGAGAACUCUAUGAGGACUGCUCCGGAUAACGGAGAGGAAGGUGGGGAUGAGGUCAAGUCAGCAUGGCCUUUAUGUCCAGGGCUACACACGUGUUACAAUGCGCGCCACAAAGCGUCGCGAACCCGCGAGGGGGAGCUAAUCGCAAAAAAGCGCGCUCAGUUCGGAUUGCAGUCUGCAACUCGACUGCAUGAAGCCGGAAUCGCUAGUAAUGGCGCAUCAGAACGGCGCCGUGAAUACGUUCCCGGGCCUUGUACACACCGUAGAGAC